UACGUAGGUGGCAAGCGUUAUCCGGAAUUAUUGGGCGUAAAGAGCGCGCAGGUGGUUGAUUAAGUCUGAUGUGAAAGCCCACGGCUCAACCGUGGAAGGUCAUUGGAAACUGGGGAACUUGAGUGCAGAAGAGGAGAGUGGAAUUCCAUGUGUAGCGGUGAAAUGCGUAGAUAUAUGGAGGAACACCAGUGGCGAAGGCGACUCUCUGGUCUGUAACUGACGCUGAGGCUCGAAAGCGUGGGGAGCAAACAGGAUUA
This 257-nucleotide ribosomal RNA is filed under the name uncultured prokaryote. RNAcentral's name for it is "partial 16S ribosomal RNA". It matches the Rfam family "Bacterial small subunit ribosomal RNA", at positions 524 to 780 of the family's 1533-position model. The record is from RNAcentral.